This 268-nucleotide small RNA is filed under the name Chinchilla lanigera (long-tailed chinchilla). RNAcentral's name for it is "7SK RNA (ENSCLAG00000021784.1)". The stretch from base 1 to 190 matches the Rfam family "7SK RNA". Rfam says of the family: 7SK was discovered as an abundant small nuclear RNA in the mid-70s but a possible function has only recently been suggested. Two independent studies have found that 7SK RNA binds the CDK9/cyclin T complex (known as elongation factor P-TEFb). Lineage: Eukaryota; Metazoa; Chordata; Mammalia; Rodentia; Chinchillidae. The record is from RNAcentral.
GGGUGUGUUGGCCAUAUGGCUGCAAAAUUUGCUGCCCCACCAAUUGCUAGGGUUCACUAGGCUGAUGUAGCUGGCUAGGCAGGUGUCCUCUUCCUCCCUCACCACUCCAUGCACAUCCUCCCAAAACUGCAUACCUGGUUGAUGACGAGGACAGCCUUCUCUGAUGGAGUAGGACUGAUCUUUAGAAGAACUGCAGGUGGGUUCCUUGGCCCCCCUGUCCUCUGUUAGCACCUGAGAUGGUCCCACCCCAGGCUGUCAGGCUGGCAUC